RNAcentral lists this ribosomal RNA (402 nucleotides) under Gallotia intermedia (Tenerife speckled lizard). RNAcentral's name for it is "partial 16S ribosomal RNA". It matches the Rfam family "Bacterial large subunit ribosomal RNA", at positions 1972 to 2575 of the family's 2925-position model. The record is from RNAcentral. Lineage: Eukaryota; Metazoa; Chordata; Lepidosauria; Squamata; Lacertidae.
UCCCUAAAUAGGGACUAGUAUGAACGGCUAAAUGAGGACUUUGCUGUCUCUUGCCGCCAGUCAAUGAAACUGAUCUCCCAGUCCAAAAGCUGGAAUAACACCAUAAGACAAAAAGACCCUGUGGAGCUUUAAAACCAAAACCACUAAAACUGUCCACUUGGUUUUUAGUUGGGGCGACUUCGGAGUAAAAACAAACCUCCGAAACAAUGGACCUUUCCAUAUCACGGCCAACACGCCAAAAUAAUCAAAACUUGACCCAGAUCUUAAUUAGUCUGACCAAUGAACCAAGUUACCCCAGGGAUAACAGCGCCAUCUUCUUUUAGAGUCCAUAUCGACAAGAAGGUUUACGACCUCGAUGUUGGAUCAGGACACCCCAAUAGUGCAGCCGCUAUUAAAGGUUCG